RNAcentral lists this ribosomal RNA (433 nucleotides) under uncultured bacterium. Its description in RNAcentral is "partial 16S ribosomal RNA". It matches the Rfam family "Bacterial small subunit ribosomal RNA", at positions 29 to 507 of the family's 1533-position model. The record is from RNAcentral.
AACGAACGCUGGCGGCAUGCCUAACACAUGCAAGUCGAACGAGACCUUCGGGUCUAGUGGCGCACGGGUGCGUAACGCGUGGGAACCUGCCUUUAGGUUCGGAAUAACUCAGAGAAAUUUGAGCUAAUACCGGAUGAUGUCUUCGGACCAAAGAUUUAUCGCCUUUAGAUGGGCCCGCGUUGGAUUAGCUAGUUGGUGGGGUAAAGGCCUACCGAGGCGACGAUCCAUAGCUGGUCUGAGAGGAUGAUCAGCCACACUGGGACUGAGACACGGCCCAGACUCCUACGGGAGGCAGCAGUGGGGAAUAUUGGACAAUGGGCGAAAGCCUGAUCCAGCAAUGCCGCGUGAGUGAUGAAGGCCUUAGGGUUGUAAAGCUCUUUUACCCGAGAUGAUAAUGACAGUAUCGGGAGAAUAAGCUACGGCUAACUCCGUG